This is a long non-coding RNA of Oxyura jamaicensis (ruddy duck), 1958 nucleotides long. RefSeq lists it as uncharacterized. The record is from RefSeq and is a predicted model, not a curated record. NCBI's taxonomy places the organism in Eukaryota, Metazoa, Chordata, Aves, Anseriformes, Anatidae. The transcript has 4 exons.
CCCUGGGAAACUCGUUUUGGGGUCAGGCAACCCCUUAACGGGGCUCAUGGUAUCAGCCCAGGCUCUGGUGGUGGGCACUGCAUGGCAGGGAAGAGGAGGGGUUCGCUGGAGCUGAAGUUCAGCAAAAUACCUCAAGCACGUGGUUGUUUUCAUUUGAUAUACGAUUGUUUUAUUUAUAGUGACACGGUCAGUCCUGCUCUUCUGGCGAAAAGGAAAACAAAGCUGGUGCUAAACGGUGCUGAGACAAAUUCAUCGGAUAUUUUAGCAGAUUUAACAACAGAUACUGCGAACUCAGGAAAACAUUGAAAAACUGUGGCUCAAAAAACUCCUGCUCCCCAGAGACGGCCAGCACCCCAUCACCACCACCUUGCCUGAACCAUCUCCAAGCCCUUGUUUCCUGAAUAACUCAUCAGCUCGACUGAUUUAUCAUCAGCUUCUUUUAUAAUCCCACACCUACGAUGCUUUGAAAUGGGAUUGAAGAAAUGGAACCUACAGGAGGCAAAGAGUGGGGGCAGCUCUGCGCGAGAUCCUCGGCUCGGAUGUGUCCUUGCAGGGGGCACCAGCCAAGGCAGGGCUGGCCUCGGAUGGUCACACCAGAAAAGGGACUGCAGGGUGCUCACCUGGUGUGAAGGCAGGAAAAAGGCUGGGAAAGGUGAGAAUUUGUAGUCCUCUUUUCUCUGCCAUGCCAGCCUGAGCAGGGAGAGGGACACAGGGUAUGGAGCUGCGGGAAGAUGGGUGCUGGAAGCACCUCCAGCUUCGCAUGGGGUGAGUGGCUGGUACCAGAGAGCAACCAGCUGGAUCAGGGGUAUAAUAACCAAGCUUCACCUGCUUAGAGCAAAGGUCAAGGAGUUGCCUGACUCUGUGCUGGGUGGUGGGAGCUGCAGCAGGAUCACGGGUACUUCUUUAAACUUCCUUUGUUUCCCCAGGUCCACUGAGGACCUCUCUGGAAAAGGUCUAUCAAGGAAAUAACAGCAGAACCUCAUGCUUGGUUUUGGCUUUGAGCUUGGUUUGGCCAGCAAACACCUCAAACACAAUCUCCCUUGAAAUGGCCUGGCAGCGCUGCAGUGAUGUUUGGUCCUAUAUGGCUUAAAUGGUGUUAAGUGGUUUUAUGAUGGUUUUCCUGUGGCUCAAACAGCAGCCUUCAUUCUGGAGUGUAAUCGCUACCCUGGCACAAAUGAGUGAAGGAAAUUUUGUGUGAUCAAAUGCAAAGAAAUGCUCUUGCCUUGGAAUAAAGCACGGAGAGAGCUAGCAGCUCAGUUUGCAAUAAAACUCCAGGUAACCUGCUAUUACUGCUCCUAGCUGCUGUUGUCGGAGCUGGGCUCAGCACCAGCAGUGCAACAAGGCAUGUAAUUACCUGUCUCUGUGCCCAUUCUUUGGGUACAGCCCCCUAUCUGCAGCUGAUCCAAACAGCACAUCCAGCCUGCACUGCACACAUCGCCUCAUUAUUUCAUAGAUAUAAUUGAACCCUUUCCUACAUGAGCUUAGACUUAGUUCAGCAAGUAGAAAACACGAUACACACAAUGGAUUUAAAUAGUACAGAUAAUAUGGGGUAGACUGGAUGUGUGAAAUUGGGUUAAUGAGGGAAAACAUAGCCUAACUUUCUUUCCCCAUUCCUGUCCACUGAAAAUUUUCUUGUGCGGAAAGAAGAUAUAAAUCUCAACCUUUAUAAUCUAUUCUGAGUGUGGGAUGGGAGGUAGUUAAAUGUUAACAAUUUAAAUUAAACACAGAAACUUCUACAGCCCAAAGCAGGGUAGCUCAUGGUUUUUGUCUUGGGGUGCCAGCACUGCCUGUGCUGAAGGGAUGUGUAUGUGUUCCCAGAAGCUCCAAGGCAGCAAGUUUUCUGAAGUACUUUGCUGUAAUUACAUGCUACCUUUAAAUUAAAUGCUUGAAUAAUUCCAGAAAUUGGCCUGAAUUAUAAAAUACUUCACCUAAAAAUACAACUUGCUAGGAAACGGGGA